RNAcentral lists this ribosomal RNA (1326 nucleotides) under Streptomyces sp. RNAcentral describes it as "bacterial SSU rRNA". It matches the Rfam family "Bacterial small subunit ribosomal RNA", at positions 96 to 1428 of the family's 1533-position model. Lineage: Bacteria; Bacillati; Actinomycetota; Actinomycetes; Kitasatosporales; Streptomycetaceae. The record is from RNAcentral.
UGGCGAACGGGUGAGUAACACGUGGGCAAUCUGCCCUUCACUCUGGGACAAGCCCUGGAAACGGGGUCUAAUACCGGAUAACACUCUGUCCCGCAUGGGACGGGGUUAAAAGCUCCGGCGGUGAAGGAUGAGCCCGCGGCCUAUCAGCUUGUUGGUGGGGUAAUGGCCUACCAAGGCGACGACGGGUAGCCGGCCUGAGAGGGCGACCGGCCACACUGGGACUGAGACACGGCCCAGACUCCUACGGGAGGCAGCAGUGGGGAAUAUUGCACAAUGGGCGAAAGCCUGAUGCAGCGACGCCGCGUGAGGGAUGACGGCCUUCGGGUUGUAAACCUCUUUCAGCAGGGAAGAAGCGAAAGUGACGGUACCUGCAGAAGAAGCGCCGGCUAACUACGUGCCAGCAGCCGCGGUAAUACGUAGGGCGCAAGCGUUGUCCGGAAUUAUUGGGCGUAAAGAGCUCGUAGGCGGCUUGUCACGUCGGAUGUGAAAGCCCGGGGCUUAACCCCGGGUCUGCAUUCGAUACGGGCUAGCUAGAGUGUGGUAGGGGAGAUCGGAAUUCCUGGUGUAGCGGUGAAAUGCGCAGAUAUCAGGAGGAACACCGGUGGCGAAGGCGGAUCUCUGGGCCAUUACUGACGCUGAGGAGCGAAAGCGUGGGGAGCGAACAGGAUUAGAUACCCUGGUAGUCCACGCCGUAAACGUUGGGAACUAGGUGUUGGCGACAUUCCACGUCGUCGGUGCCGCAGCUAACGCAUUAAGUUCCCCGCCUGGGGAGUACGGCCGCAAGGCUAAGACUCAAAGGAAUUGACGGGGGCCCGCACAAGCAGCGGAGCAUGUGGCUUAAUUCGACGCAACGCGAAGAACCUUACCAAGGCUUGACAUAUACCGGAAAGCAUCAGAGAUGGUGCCCCCCUUGUGGUCGGUAUACAGGUGGUGCAUGGCUGUCGUCAGCUCGUGUCGUGAGAUGUUGGGUUAAGUCCCGCAACGAGCGCAACCCUUGUUCUGUGUUGCCAGCAUGCCCUUCGGGGUGAUGGGGACUCACAGGAGACUGCCGGGGUCAACUCGGAGGAAGGUGGGGACGACGUCAAGUCAUCAUGCCCCUUAUGUCUUGGGCUGCACACGUGCUACAAUGGCCGGUACAAUGAGCUGCGAUGCCGCGAGGCGGAGCGAAUCUCAAAAAGCCGGUCUCAGUUCGGAUUGGGGUCUGCAACUCGACCCCAUGAAGUCGGAGUUGCUAGUAAUCGCAGAUCAGCAUUGCUGCGGUGAAUACGUUCCCGGGCCUUGUACACACCGCCCGUCACGUCACGAAAGUCGGUAACACCCGAAGCC